This 57-nucleotide transfer RNA is filed under the name Phoneutria boliviensis. Its description in RNAcentral is "tRNA-His". The record is from RNAcentral. Lineage: Eukaryota; Metazoa; Arthropoda; Arachnida; Araneae; Ctenidae.
CAAAUAUCUAGUUUAAACUAAAACAAUAAUUUGUGGAAUUAUAAAAUCUCAUAAUUC